Molecule: long non-coding RNA, 1306 nt
Filed under: Homo sapiens (human)
Lineage: Eukaryota; Metazoa; Chordata; Mammalia; Primates; Hominidae
Description: HSALNT0145998
Source: RNAcentral
CAAGAACUUAAAACCUCUUCAACUCACACCUGACCUAAACCCAAACGCCUUAUUUUCUUCUGCAAUGCCGCUUGACAAACUCGACAGUGGUUCCAAAUAGCCAGAAAAUGGCACUUUCAAUUUUUCCAUCCUACAAGAUCUAAAUAAUUCUUGUCCUAAAAUAGGCAAACAGUCUGAGGUGCCUGACGUCCAGACAUUCUUUUACACAUUGUCCCCUCCCUAGUCUCUGUUCCCAGUGCGACUCGUCCCAAAUCCUCCUCCCUUCCCUCUCACCUGUCCCCUCAGUCCCAACCCCAGGCGUCGCUGAGUCUUUCUAAUCUUCCUUUUCUACAGACCCAUCUGACCUCUCCCCUCCUCCCCAGGCUGCUCCUCGCCAGGCCGAGCUAGGUCCCAAUUCUUCCUCAGCCUCCGCUCCUCCACCCUGUAAUCCGUUCAUCACCUCCCCUCCUCACACCCGGUCUGGGUUACAGUUUCGUUCCUUGACUGGCCCUCCCCCACCUGCCCAGCAAUUUCCUCUUAAAAACAUGGCUGGAGCUAAAGGCAUAGUCAAGGUUAAAGCUCCUUUUUCUUUAUCCGACCUCUCCCAAAUCAGUUAGCAUUUAGGCUCUUUUUCAUCAAAUAUAAAAAUCCAGCCCAGUUCAUGACUUGUUUGGCAGCAACCCUGAGACGCUUUACAGCCCUAGACCCUAAAAGGUCAAAAGGCCGUCUUAUUCUCAAUAUACAUUUUAUUACCCAAUCCGCUCUCGACUUUAAAUAAAGCUCCAAAAAUUAAAUUCCGGCUCUCAAACCCCACAACAGGACUUAAUUAACCUCGCUUUCAAGAUGUACAAUAAUAGAAAAAAGUUGCAAUUCCUUGCCUCCACUGUGAGACAAACCCCAGCCACAUCUCCAGCACACAAGAACUUCCAAACGCCUAAACCGCAGUGGCCAGGCGUUCCUCCAGGCCCGCCGCCCCCAGGAGCUUGCUACAAGUGCCAGAAAUCUGGCCACCAGGCCAAGGAAUGCCCGCAGCCCGGGAUUCCACCUAAGCCGCAUCCCAUCUGUGUGGGACCCCACUGAAAACUGGACUGUUCAACUCACCUGGCAGCCACUCCCAGAGCCCCUGGAACUCCAGCCCAAGGCUCUCUGACUCCUUCUCAGAUCUUCUCGGCUUAGCGGCUGAAGACUGACACUGCCUGAUGGCCUCGGAAGCCCCCCUAAACCAUCACGGACGCCGAGCUUUGGCUAACUCUCACAGUGGAAGGUCCAAUGUGAUAUCCACCAUCUGGCAGGAAGCUUACCAGUUCAUGGAUAACAAAUAGGCAAA